This 67-nucleotide transfer RNA is filed under the name Hypselosoma matsumurae. Its description in RNAcentral is "tRNA-Val". Lineage: Eukaryota; Metazoa; Arthropoda; Insecta; Hemiptera; Schizopteridae. The record is from RNAcentral.
CAAGUUUCUUCAAAAGUUUAUUUUAUUUACAGUAAAAUUAUUAUAUGUGUAAUUCAUAUAAACUUGA